UUUUAUCCUCACUUUAGAGAUGAAGGAACUGAGGCACAGAGGUUAACUUGUCCAAGCAGGUACACUUAGGAGGUGCCAAAGCCAAGAUGCCAACCCAGCUGGGGCCCCAGCAGUAACCCCCUACUGCCCAGAGCCCAGCAUCAAAAACUUUUUGACUCUUUUCUCUCUUUUCCCUCUUAGUACAACUAUGACAAGAGCAUUGUGGACAGUGGCACCACCAACCUUCGUUUGCCCAAGAAAGUGUUUGAAGCUGCAGUCAAAUCCAUCAAGGCAGCCUCCUCCACGGAGAAGUUCCCUGAUGGUUUCUGGCUAGGAGAGCAGCUGGUGUGCUGGCAAGCGGGCACCACCCCUUGGAACAUUUUCCCAGUCAUCUCACUCUACCUAAUGGGUGAGGUUACCAACCAGUCCUUCCGCAUCACCAUCCUUCCGCAGCAAUACCUGCGGCCAGUGGAAGAUGUGGCCACGUCCCAAGACGACUGUUAUAAGUUUGCCAUCUCACAGUCAUCCACAGGCACUGUUAUGGGAGCUGUUAUCAUGGAGGGCUUCUACGUUGUCUUUGAUCGGGCCCGAAAACGAAUUGGCUUUGCUG
RNAcentral lists this small RNA (589 nucleotides) under Pan troglodytes (chimpanzee). Its description in RNAcentral is "retained intron". The record is from RNAcentral. Lineage: Eukaryota; Metazoa; Chordata; Mammalia; Primates; Hominidae.